CUCCAGCCUGGGUAACAAAAACGAAACUCCGUCUCAAAAAAAAAAAAAGAAAAAAAAAAAGAAGAAGAAGGUGAAAGUGAUGCUUCGACACCUGUAAUUAAGCAAAUAUUUUUUUUCCCUUGUUUGUCAGAAAAUUGGGGGCCAGGAGGAUGCUGGUGAUUGCUAAGCAAAACUUCUAAUUUAUUGAAAAGGCUAUGGAGCCCAGAAAAGUUUCUCAUCUCCACACCUGUAGAGAGGGGCUCACAGGACCAUGUAAGGCUGGACCCUGCACUGGUGGCACCAUUAUAUACCAGAACAUUUUUUCUCUCAGCGUGAUGAAACCUCGCACUGGCCUGCUUUGUCCCAUGAGAGAUGUGAAUCCUUCCUUUGUCCAGCAUGUCCACACUGUCUCCACUCACCACUAGUGACUCACUCAGUAGCCCUCUCAAUGAUCAUCUCGCAUCAUCACAAGAAG
This 454-nucleotide long non-coding RNA is filed under the name Callithrix jacchus (white-tufted-ear marmoset). Its description in RNAcentral is "lncRNA (ENSCJAG00000076490.1)". The record is from RNAcentral. Lineage: Eukaryota; Metazoa; Chordata; Mammalia; Primates; Cebidae.